This 2822-nucleotide long non-coding RNA is filed under the name Lactuca sativa (garden lettuce). Its description in RNAcentral is "long non-coding RNA (LSAT_LNC005765)". The record is from RNAcentral. Lineage: Eukaryota; Viridiplantae; Streptophyta; Magnoliopsida; Asterales; Asteraceae.
AUUAUCUUCCCUCUUUCUUCAUGUCCGGUAGCCGCCGCUACCUAUGGAACACCUCCAGCUGUCGCUGCUUCGCUGAGGAACUCCGCCAACGGAAACGUCGUUUCGACCGGUUUGGACGCCAAGGCCGACAACUGAGUGCGUAUUGUUGCUGUGAGAGCCGGGAGCGACCAGAAAAUCAUUGGUAAGCCCAUCUACCACCUUCCCCUCUCCUAUCCUUCGCUAUUUCCGGUGAGCCGGCGUCGUAUAUAUCGAUUGUUGUCGUCUGCAGCCUUGUGGUCGCCGUUUUGAGUCGCCGCCGCCGUCUGUCGCCACCUCUGUGGCAUUCCGACGAUGGUCUGGCACCUUGUAGGUGGCUAAUUGUGUGUGUGUUCGCCUUUAUGGGUUGAUUUCGGAGCUAACAGUGGGAUAUGUGUGUGUUAUUUUAGGCAAGGAAGCAAGGUAAACCGCCGCCACCACCAUGUGAGGUGGUGGCUUUCAUCACAACCGCCGAUGUUGCCGCCUCGAGAUGUCCGAUAGGGUGUGUUUUUCAUGUCCAACAUGUUGUGUGUGUUGGUUAUUGCUUCAGUAGAGUGGGUGUCAUGUAGGGUGUGUUUGAUGGCCGGAAAAUGGAAAAGAUACCCACCAUGGCCGCCAGCCAUGGUGGCUGCCACCACAUGCCACCNNNNNNNNNNNNNNNNNNNNNNNNNNNNNNNNNNNNNNNNNNNNNNNNNNNNNNNNNNNNNNNNNNNNNNNNNNNNNNNNNNNNNNNNNNNNNNNNNNNNNCCCACCCCCCCCCCGGGGGGGGGGGCCUGCCGCCGUGUCGGGUGGCGGUGUGCUUUGCCUCGUUGUGAUUGAUUCGUAUGGGGUGCUUGAAACCCUAAUGGGCCCGAAGAAGCCUUAAUGAGGUUAGUGAAACCCUAUUGGGCCUAAUAAAGCCCUAGUUGACAUUAAAGCCCAAACAUGUGUCUAAUGGGCUUAAUGGACCCUAAUGGAUCCAAGGACUUAACUAAUGGGUCUAUUGGGCUAAGAUGGGUUGGAAACCCUAAUUAGGGUUUAGAAAACCCUAAUAUUGGACUUAUGGGCUUGGACUUAUUGAGACCCAUUUGUGGGCCAUUGGAAUAAUGGAAUUGUGUGAUUAAGCCCAAUCACACCAUAUGACUUAUUUAGAAAAAUGAUAGACUUAAUGGAUUAAGUCCUUAAUGGGUUAAGUGAGAAAUACUUAACCCUAAUCGUCAUUUUAUGUGAAACCCUAAUUUCACAUGGGUGUAUUGUUGGGCCUUCUAUUGGGCCUUGAGGAUUGCGUUAUUAAUGGGCCAUCCAAAGUCAAGCAAAUGGACUAGAAUAUUUAAUGGGCCUAGGGUAAGGCCCAUGUAAGGGGUUUGGGCCCAAUUUGGAAAAUUGGGCAUAGAGGGGCCACAGUUUGGGCCUUAAUGAUUAUAUGAUGUUGGGCCUUAGAAUGAGACCAUGUAUAGGCUUGGGCCCAAUUUGGAAAAUUGGGCCAUAUGUUGGACUUUGAGUCUUAGUCGACUUUGGGCCUAUGAAUUGGGCCUUGGGCUUGAAUAAGCCAAGCUAGGGGUAAUGUAGUAAUUACCCAAAGCAUGUACUUAUGGUUAUGUAGUGGAACCCAAUUAUUAAUUGGGUGAUGUUUUGAUAUUGACAGAUCGGGAAUCUGUCAUCCAGUAGCUGGGGUUGAGUCUGCGGGACGUCAGCAGUAUGGAGUUGAGUCUUCGGGACUUCAGCAGUGCGAGGUGAGUUACCCUCCAGUAGGAGUGGGUCUACGGCCACAAUGUCGACCCACUAGUAGGAGUUAAUUGUUAGAUGAUUGCCUUUGUGAUAAUUAUCUGGUGUGUUGUUAUCUGAUAUGCUUUAUGUGCUAGGAUGCUAUGACAUAUGUGUUAGUAGCGGUAGGGGUGAUAUAGCCCAUAGUUACCGGUUGAAAGAUACCGAAGGGGUAGAUAGUACCCCAGGCAUGCCUAGCAGUAUGAUCAUGAUAUGUUAUUAUGUGGUAGUGGUAAGGGGUGAAAUAGUCCCCGGUUACUGAUUGAAAGAUACCGAAAGCAGUUAUCGGUUGAAAGAUACCGAAGGGGUAGACAGAACCCAUGUAUGAUAUGUUAUUAAGUGACCAUUAUGGUUAUGAUAUGCCAUUAUGUGAUUCAGUAUGUUUAUGUUAUGUUAUCAUGGAACCAAUAUGUUUAUGACAUGUUAUUAUAUGAUAGUGGUGGGGGUGAAAUAGUCCCCGGUUACCGGUUGAAAGAUACCAAUGGCGGAUACUGGUUGAAAGAUACCGAAGGGGUAUACAGAACCCAUGCAAGGCUUAUCUGUUUGUUUAUGAUAUGUUGGUAUGUGAUCAUUAUGUUAUGAUGUUAGUAUGUGAUCGAUAUGUUAUGAUGUUAGUAUGUGAUCAGUAUGCUAUGAUAUUAGUAUGUGACCAGUAUGUUUAUGAUAUAUUAUUAUGUGAUGGUGGUGGGGGUGAAAUAGUCCCCGGAUACCUGUUGAAAGAUACCGAUGGCGGAUACCGGUUGAAAGAUACCGAUGUCGGAUACAGGUUGAAAGAUACCGAUGGCAGUUACCGGUUAAAAAAUACCGAUGAUAUUAUGUGGUAUGUGGUAUGAUGAGGGAACUCACUAAGCUUCGUGCUUACGGUUUAUAAUUUUGGUUUCAGGUGCUUUGUUUGCAAAGGAAAGGAGCCGGCUUGAUCGCAGCGCAUCACACUAUGUUUUCCGCACACUAGAUCCUUGGGAUUAUACUCUGAUAUGGUUUCAUAAUAUUAUAUUUUGAUUAUUCACACUUUGGUUUUAUGUAAUAACCUAAUUAAAAAUGAAAUUUUUGGCCUUGAAUUUUGG